GAAGGAUAUAUGUUGGAAAUAUAAGGGAACUGAAUGUAAAAUACUUGAGAAAAUUGUGAUUUUUACAUAUAAUGUGUAUGUUGAUAUAUUUUUUUUUAUUUUCCCUGUAUUUAUAUUUGGCUACAAAUACUUAAAGACACUGUCUAAUGAAAUGGCUUAUGUUUUAUGAUAGGAACUGCAAAGUACAUGUAUGUCAUUGUAUUUUUAUGAUACACCUGAUAGUUGUUUAUUCUUUUAACUUUCGUAAUUCUUACACAUUUACAGCUAUUGAAAACUAAAAAUAAAAAGGGUUAUUUCCUGAAGACUCAGAAAUAUUAUUCCUGAUAGAAUACUAAUAUUGGAUGAUUGAUUGAUUGAUAUUUGCAUUACGCAGACUCAGCACAAAAAGGCUAUAUCACAGCAAGAGAUAUUUGAGUGCAGGCUCAGCACAAAAAGGAGUUAUCACAGCAAGAGAUAUUUGAGGGAGAUAUAUUAUAAGAAAAAUGGGAAAUAUUAUUCCAAGUAGAGUGCAAUAUAAUAAUGGGUUACAUUGCCCCAAGUUUCUAAUCAUCCUAUUAAUAUACAAGGAGAUCAAGGUAUCAUUUCAUGUGCUUUACUCGCAUUAUGUCUUGUUUAUUAUUUUGGUUGUUUAUAUAAACCAAAAAUAUUAGAAAUUCCUGCAAAAAAAAAAGAAUUCCCAAUGCAAUUCUUUGAAUUGCCUGACAUUUUGUCUACAUUUGUUAGAUGUAUUGUAAACACACAAAACUUCACCAAAUCUGUUGUUCAGAAAUAAAAAGAAAGAAUGAAAUUUGAUGCUAUAAAAUACUGUAUAUAUGUUUAGGAACAUUUUUGUUAUUGUUAAAGUGAUACAGACUUU
Molecule: long non-coding RNA, 856 nt
Filed under: Mytilus galloprovincialis (Mediterranean mussel)
Lineage: Eukaryota; Metazoa; Mollusca; Bivalvia; Mytilida; Mytilidae
Source: RNAcentral